UACAGGGGGUGCAAACGUUGCUCGGAAUUAUUGGGCGUAGAGCGCGCGUAGGCGGCUAUUUAAGUCGGAUGUGAAAGCCCCUGGCUCAACUGGGGAAGUGCACCCGAAACUGAAUGGCUUGAGUGCAAAAGAGGGCCGCGGAAUUCCCGGUGUAGAGGUGAAAUUCGUAGAUAUCGGGAGGAACACCGGUGGCGAAGGCGGCGGCCUGGGUUGACACUGACGCUGAGGCGCGAAAGCUAGGGGAGCGAACAGG
Molecule: ribosomal RNA, 253 nt
Filed under: uncultured bacterium
Lineage: Bacteria
Description: partial 16S ribosomal RNA
Rfam family: Bacterial small subunit ribosomal RNA
Source: RNAcentral